RNAcentral lists this ribosomal RNA (451 nucleotides) under uncultured bacterium. RNAcentral's name for it is "partial 16S ribosomal RNA". It matches the Rfam family "Bacterial small subunit ribosomal RNA", at positions 354 to 796 of the family's 1533-position model. The record is from RNAcentral.
GUGGGGAAUAUUGGACAAUGGGGGGAACCCUGAUCCAGCCAUGCCGCGUGUGUGAAGAAGGCCUUUUGGUUGUAAAGCACUUUAAGCGAGGAGGAGGCUACCGAGAUUAAUACUCUUGGAUAGUGGACGUUACUCGCAGAAUAAGCACCGGCUAACUCUGUGCCAGCAGCCGCGGUAAUACAGAGGGUGCAAGCGUUAAUCGGUUUUACUGGGCGUAAAGCGCGCGUAGGUGGCCAAUUAAGUCAAAUGUGAAAUCCACGAGCUUAACUUGGGAAUUGCAUUCGAUACUGGUUGGCUAGAGUAUGGGAGAGGAUGGUAGAAUUCCAGGUGUAGCGGUGAAAUGCGUAGAGAUCUGGAGGAAUACCGAUGGCGAAGGCAGCCAUCUGGCCUAAUACUGACACUGAGGUGCGAAAGCAUGGGGAGCAAACAGGAUUAGAAACCCUGGUAGUCC